Salvelinus fontinalis (brook trout) is the source of this 2460-nucleotide non-coding RNA. The record is from the annotation of a RefSeq genome assembly. Lineage: Eukaryota; Metazoa; Chordata; Actinopteri; Salmoniformes; Salmonidae.
UCUACAGGUCAGUGUGGAGCAGCAGGCCCCAUAGUGCUUCAACCCAGACAGCUCCUCACCCUUCCUGGUAACACCACCACCUCCAGUCCAGUCACCCUGCAGUGCUCCCUGGGUCCAGGCUUCAGCAUGCCCAGCUAUACCAUGAUGUGGUACCGACAGGUCCGCUAUGGAGGCCCAGUGGAGUUCCUCAUUAAGGAGUACGAGAAAACCCUGGGGCGAUACAAAGAGGACCUGGACACAUCGGGGAACAGGUUCAUCCUGCAGAUCUCUGAGCUGGUUGUGGAGGACAGUGGUGUCUACUACUGCGCUGCUAGUCACUCUGGUGCUUAUCCUGCCUACUUUGGAGAGGGAACUAAGCUAACAGUUCUGGAUCCAAACAUCAAAGUCACUGAACCCACAGUGAAAGUCCUUCCACCCUCCACUAAGGAGUGUGAAGACAGAAACAAGAAGAAGAAGAAGACCCUGGUGUGUGUAGCCACCCGCUUCUACCCCGACCACGUCACGGUCUACUGGCAAGUCAACAAUGUCAACACAACUGCAGGCGCCGGGACCGACAACAAGGCCUUGUGGGAUAAAGAUAGUUUAUACAGUAUCACCAGCAGACUGAGAGUCCCAGCCAAUGACUGGCACAACCCAAAGAACAGGUUCACCUGCAAUGUCAUCUUUUUCAACGGGACUGGAAAUACAACUGAGAAACACACCAUUCGUGGAGAUCUCCAAGGUCAAAUUGGGGGAGAGAUAACGACAGAUAACUAUGUGAAGAGCACCCAGACUGCCAAGCUGGCCUACAGCAUCUUCAUCGCUAAGAGUACCUUCUACGGCCUGGUCGUCAUGGUUAUGAUUUGGAAGUUCCAGGGCUCCUCAGAGAAACAGAUUUAACGGAACACAAGCGGCCCAAGGAGGAUGUCCUGCGUGGGUGUUGAUUCUUCCAUGGGAUCAAGGACGGACUGGCAAAAGGGCAAUUCUGGCAAAUGCCAAAUGGACUGAUUCAUCUUUAGCCCAGUGGGCCUGUCUAAAUUGGCUUUUUUUUAGCAAAAUAAUAAUAAGUUGGCCAGUAAAGAGGGCCUUAAAGGCAAAACAUGGGCAGGUGUGUUAGAAAUGCCUGGGCCGGUUUCUGGUCCCAGUUUGCCCCUGCGUGUAAUUGUAUUGUCCAUUGUGCUUAGUGUGUCCAUCAUCUCUUUAUUACCCUGUCUACGUGAAGAUGUGCUUUUUAGAAUCUCCUAUGAACAGGAACUUACAAUUUAAAUGUAUAUUUGAAUCAAUUCAACCAAAACAAUCUUUCCAUUAAUUUACAAAACCAAUGUCUGUUUGUUUUUCCAGUAAUUACAGUAUAGUAUGUAUGAAUACAUUCUGCUUUCUGAUUUCUACAUGUUCAUUUGUGAAUGAUAAACUGUAUAUAAUUAUGGACAGAUCGAAAUAUACCUCUCCACAGUUAAAUAUUUUCACGACCCUCCCCCUGGUAGAAUUAACUCAAUCUAAUGUUUACGACCACAAAUAACAAGAACUGUAGCGACCCUGUUUUUAUAAACGUGGAUAUCGACGUCGCCGCUUCAGCAAGCUUUUCUGGCACAGUUGACGCCACGCAGGGCUUUGGGCCAGAAGGUUGAGGGUUCACGGACCAUCACGGACGAGCUCACUCUCCCUGCCGGUUUCAUCACAUUACGAUCAGAGACUGAGGCAGACGAGCUCACUCUCCCUGCCCGUUUCAUUACAUUACGAUCAGAGACAUAGGCAGACGAGCUCACUCUCCCUGCCCGUUUCAUCACAUUACGAUCAGAGACUGAGGCAGACGAGCUCACUCUCCCUGCCGGUUUCAUCACAUUACGAUCAGAGACUGAGACAGACGAGCUCACUCUCCCUGCCCGUUUCAUCACAUUACGAUCAGAGACUGAGACAGACGAGCUCACUCUCCCUGCCCGUUUCAUCACAUUACGAUCAGAGACUGAGGCAGACGAGCUCACUCUCCCUGCCCGUUUCAUCACAUUACGAUCAGAGACUGAGGCAGACGAGCUCACUCACCCUACCCGUUUCAUCACAUUACAAUCAGAGACUGAGGCAGACCAAGAUCAGCUAGGGGGAAAUCAGAUUUUCAACAUUUUGAUGCCAGAUUUAUAUAAAAUAUAUGCAACAACUUUUCCACCGAUAGGUUUAACAACCAAUCAACAAAGCAUACCAACUUCUGGCACUUUAAUAAUCAUGGUUUGUGUUUUGAACAAACAGAAAAUAAAUCCCUCCCUACCUUGUAGACUUAGCCAGUAUUGAAGGCUUGGCUUGACAAUCUCUUAGUGUCAUUAAACGUUCUGGUGUUUUGUAACAAUGUCUCCUUUCAUUCAUCAAUUGGCCACUGCACAGUUUGGAUUGAUUGAUUAAUUCAUUUUAAUUGUAUGUAAAUAAAAUACAUAUAUACACAUAAUUGUUUUAAAUGACUGGGAUUGUACAAUAAAGUCUGGGACUUAUUUC